GGGGAUGAAUGAUUCGACGGGAAUGCACAUUAACAGACAGCAAGCCGACAUUGGUAGAUUGUCGCAAAUUAACUAUCAAAAAAUACAUGCUGAUAACACUAUCAGUAAGCUUGAAGCGAAACUUGCUCAACUUGAACAGGCUUUAGCAUUCAAGUAUUCCGGACUCGCUUUUGCGCAAGCACGAGCGUAAGGAAUCAUCUGUGAAUAUCUGUUGUUCAGUGAGAUUUUACAGGUGACAACAUAGCUGGACCAUCAGAAGUUGGAUGACUGGCCAAUUUUGGAGUAUUUAUUCAGUCAACACCCCGCCUUCUAUUUUGUCUAUUUAGAGGUUGGCAGGGAAUUAAAUGGACUACGCUUGUAGACGUUUGUUAUCUCGCGUUUUCGGACCCGGGCUCACCCCCGGCAUCUCCACAC
This 414-nucleotide transfer-messenger RNA is filed under the name Patescibacteria group. RNAcentral's name for it is "CAIJMI01 sp903821745 X1 Standard tmRNA". It matches the Rfam family "transfer-messenger RNA". From Rfam's summary of the family: Bacterial tmRNA, also known as 10Sa RNA or SsrA, is named for its dual tRNA and mRNA-like properties. Its role is to liberate the mRNA from a stalled ribosome. The record is from RNAcentral.